GAUGAAGAACGUAGCGAAAUGCGAUAAGUAAUGUGAAUUGCAGAAUUCAGUGAAUCAUCGAAUCUUUGAACGCACAUUGCGCCCAUUAGUGUUCUAGUGGGCAUGCCUGUUCGAGCGUCAUUAAGUCCACUUAAGCCCUGCCUAGUGUUGGGAGACUGCUCCAGCGGUGCUACCCUGUAGCUACCCUGCAGCUCCUCAAAGACAGCGGCGGAGUUGUGGUAUCCUCUGAGCUUAGUAACUUGUUCUAGCUUUCGAGUACACCACUUCCCCUGCCGUAAAACCCUUAAUUUUUAAUGGUUGACCUCGGAUCAGGUAGGAAUACCCGCUGAACUUAAGCAUAUCAAUAAGCGGAGGA
RNAcentral lists this unclassified non-coding RNA (355 nucleotides) under soil metagenome. RNAcentral describes it as "partial contains 5.8S ribosomal RNA, internal transcribed spacer 2, and large subunit ribosomal RNA". The stretch from base 1 to 120 matches the Rfam family "5.8S ribosomal RNA", at positions 35 to 154 of the family's 154-position model. The record is from RNAcentral.